AUGAAAUCAGGAAAGAUAAUCAAAAAAGCCCAGGAAGAGGAAGGGAAAGAAAAACAUCGGACCACAGACAAGUUUCUGAAAGUCCAAGCAGAAGAGGGGAAAAAGAGAAGAAAAAAGAUCAUAAAUCCAGCAGUAAAGACAGGGAGACGAGAAGAAAUUUGGAAAAAGAUGACAAGCAUAAUAGAAGCAAGACCAAGAAAAGAGGCAAAUCUAGAAGCCAUAGUAAAAGCAGAGAGAAAUCCAGAAGUAAAGAAAGAGACUCCAAACACAGCAGACAUGAUGAGAAGAGAAGAUCAAGAAGCAAAGAGAGGGACCGUGAGAAAGACAGAGAAAAAGAAAAGCACUAUGAUUCUAGAGGGAGAGAUAAAGAAAGAAGUAGGAGUAAAGAGAGGAACAGAAGGGCAGGUUCAAGAAGUAAUGAACAUGACCAUAGGAAGAGUAAAGACAGGGAGAAACAUAAAUCAAGAAGUAGAGAGCGUGAGCAUGCUAGAGGAAAACAUAGCUCCAGCAGUAGAACAAGGGAACGAAGCAAAAGCAGAGAUAGAGGUAGAAGGGGUAGAUCAAGAAGCAGAGACAGAGAUCGCAGUCGAAGUAAAGAAUAUUCAAGGAACAGGGAUAGAGAAUCAAGAAGAAGACGAUCAAGAAGCAGAGAAAGGAGAGGUACACCAGAUAGAUACAGAGGAAGAGAAAAUAGGAGGAGGAGAAACUCGAGGAGCUCAGAAAGAGAGGAAAGUCAGAGCAGAAACAGAGAAAGAUACUCAAAUAGAGAAAGUAGAAGCUCAUAUAAGAGGAAUGAUAGUGAAAGCCAAAGGAAGAGGCAUUCAAAAAGCCGUGAAAGUAGCAGUCCUGAAUCCAGUAAAGGUAAGAAGCCUAGUAGAGAUCAAGAUAGAAGUCCAGAUUCAAAAAAGAGACCAAGUAGCAAAGAAAGAGAAUCAAAAUCGUACUCACACAGAAGUAAUGAAAAGGAAAAGACCAGAUCCUCAGCUGAAAAAGAAAUUAACCAAAAAUCAGAGAGUCAGGACAGAGAUCAUGCCCAUACUAAGGAUAAAAAGUCUGAUCGAGAAACAAGUCCUGGAACAGAUGAUGACAGGCAUGGAUGAGUGUUUGGACUUAAUGUUUCCAUUGUCUCAAAGUUUUAGAGACGUUUUGAGGAACGCCUUUUUUUAA
This 1167-nucleotide long non-coding RNA is filed under the name Chrysolophus pictus (golden pheasant). RNAcentral's name for it is "lncRNA (ENSCPIG00010009484.1)". Lineage: Eukaryota; Metazoa; Chordata; Aves; Galliformes; Phasianidae. The record is from RNAcentral.